CCUACGGGAGGCAGCAGUGGGGAAUUUUCCGCAAUGGGCGAAAGCCUGACGGAGCAAUACCGCGUGAGGGAGGACGGCUUUUGGGUUGUAAACCUCUUUUAUCAGGGAAGAGUCGAUGACGGUACCUGAUGAAUCAGCAUCGGCUAACUCCGUGCCAGCAGCCGCGGUAAUACGGAGGAUGCAAGCGUUAUCCGGAAUUAUUGGGCGUAAAGCGUCCGUAGGUGGUUUAUCAAGUCUGCUGUCAAAGCGUGCGGCUUAACCGCAUAAGGGCAGUGGAAACUGAUGAACUAGAGUGCGAUAGGGGUAACAGGAAUUCCCAGUGUAGCGGUGAAAUGCGUAGAUAUUGGGAAGAACACCAGCGGCGAAAGCGUGUUACUGGGUCUGCACUGACACUGAGGGACGAAAGCUAGGGGAGCGAAAGGGAUUAGAUACCCCAGUAGUC
RNAcentral lists this ribosomal RNA (442 nucleotides) under uncultured cyanobacterium. RNAcentral describes it as "bacterial SSU rRNA". It matches the Rfam family "Bacterial small subunit ribosomal RNA", at positions 338 to 795 of the family's 1533-position model. Lineage: Bacteria; Bacillati; Cyanobacteriota. The record is from RNAcentral.